UGGCGGACGGGGGAGUAAUGUCUGGGAAACUGCCCGAUGGAGGGGGGUAACUACUGGAAACGGUAGCUAAUACCGCAUAACGUCGCAAGACCAAAGAGGGGGACCUUCGGGCCUCUUGCCAUCGGAUGUGCCCAGAUGGGAUUAGCUAGUAGGUGGGGUAAAGGCUCACUUAGGCGACGAUCCCUAGCUGGUCUGAGAGGAUGACCAGCCACACUGGAACUGAGACACGGUCCAG
Molecule: ribosomal RNA, 235 nt
Filed under: uncultured bacterium
Lineage: Bacteria
Description: partial 16S ribosomal RNA
Rfam family: Bacterial small subunit ribosomal RNA
Source: RNAcentral